GGUCAAUUGGUCUAGUGGUAUGAUUCCUGCUUCGGGCGCUGGUCUUUGGCGUUACUCCUCGGGUUAAAAGCUUGAAAUUGCAGGAGGCCCCGCGUUCGACUCGCGGAUUGACCC
Non-coding RNA from Tothia fuscella, 114 nucleotides. Lineage: Eukaryota; Fungi; Ascomycota; Dothideomycetes; Venturiales; Cylindrosympodiaceae. The record is from the annotation of a GenBank genome assembly.